GCCUGGGUGGCUCAGUCGGUUAAGCGUCCGACUUCGGCUCAGGUCAUGAUCUCGCGGUCUGUGGGUUCGAGCCCCACGUCGGGCU
This 85-nucleotide transfer RNA is filed under the name Felis catus (domestic cat). It matches the Rfam family "tRNA". From Rfam's summary of the family: Transfer RNA (tRNA) molecules are approximately 80 nucleotides in length. Their secondary structure includes four short double-helical elements and three loops (D, anti-codon, and T loops). Further hydrogen bonds mediate the characteristic L-shaped molecular structure. tRNAs have two regions of fundamental functional importance: the anti-codon, which is responsible for specific mRNA codon recognition, and the 3' end, to which the tRNAs corresponding amino acid is attached (by aminoacyl-tRNA synthetases). tRNAs cope with the degeneracy of the genetic code in two manners: having more than one tRNA (with a specific anti-codon) for a particular amino acid; and 'wobble' base-pairing, i.e. permitting non-standard base-pairing at the 3rd anti-codon position. The record is from Rfam by way of RNAcentral. Lineage: Eukaryota; Metazoa; Chordata; Mammalia; Carnivora; Felidae. RNAcentral also lists the same sequence under 2 other names.